CCAACGCAUCCAUCCCCAGAGGAACAAGCGAGGAUCUCAGAGCGCGACCUGGACAGGCUCUCACAAAAGUCACCGCGUUUGUGUAGGUAACUAAGGCCUACCGAAACCAGUCAGCCCUAAGUGCACACAGGAGAACCAUGGAGUUGGAGGAAAAGGUCCCAUACAGAGAGAAGAAACAGACAACCUGAAUCACAUUCAAAAGAGAGUCUCCACAAUAGUGAGGGCUGCAAAACCAGGUGACAUGAAAACCAAGAGAAUGAAUUACAUAGAUUUGUUUAACCUAAGGAAGAAAAGAUUCUGGACACGUGAGGGCCGAUUUUCAUUCCUCAGAGCUCUCUCCUUUGGAGGCUUCUUUGUUUGGGCCCCACUUCCAUUCUUCACAUUCAGCAGUUACUGGGAGACGACCUUACCAUGGCCUGUCCCUCCGUGUUCAUCCCAAUCGCAUCCAGAUGCCUCUCUGGCCUCAUCUCCUAGUGUUCCUGUGUCCGGAAUUGGUGGGUUCUUGGUCUCGCUAACUUCAACAAUGAAGCCUCGGACCCUGGCGAAGAGGCAGAGGAUGUUGACACAAACUUACAGACUGGGACUCCAAGGAUCAGCCAGAUGAAAUGCUAUGUGCAGAGUCUUCAUUUCCCAGCUCAGUGGUGGACAGCAGAGGACUCUAAGAUCCAGCCACCUCUUGGGAUGCACACGUUUCUCUUCAACUGCGUGAUGUGAACUGCGUCACAUGACCAUGGAAAUAAUAUCAGACAAAAAGCAGAUUAGAGCAAUUUUCUUUUUCGAGUUCAAAAUGGGUUAUAAAGCAGCGGAGACAAACCGCAACAUCACCAACGCCUUUGGCCCAGGAACUGCUAAUGAAGGUACAGUGCAGUCACUGUUCAGGAAGUUUUGCAAAGGAGACUAGAGCCUUGAAGAUGAGGAGCAUAGUGACCAGCCAUUGGAAGUCGACAAAGACCAAUUGAGAGGAAUCAUUGAAGCUGAUCAUCUUACAACUACACGAGAAGUUGUCAAAGAACGCAAUGUUGACCAUUGUGUGGUCUUUUCGCAUUUGAAGCAAAUUGGAAAGGUGAAAAACUUGAUAAGUGGGUGCCUUGUGAGCUCAGCAAAAAUCCAAAAAAAUAAUCAUUUUUAAGUGUUGUCUUCUCUUAUUCUACGCAACAACAAUAACCAUUUUGCAAUCGGAUUGUGAUGUGCAAUGAAAAGUGGAUUUGGGGCCGGGCGCGGUGGCUCACGCCUGUAAUCUCAGCACUUUGGAAGGCCAAGGCGGGCAGAUCACGAGGUCAGGAGAUCAAGACCGUCCUGGCUAACACGGUGAAACCCCGUCUCUACUGAAAAUACAAAAAAUUAGCCGGGUGUGGUGGCUGGCGCCUGUAGUCCCAGCUACAGGCUGAGGCAGGAGAAUGGCAUGAACCUGGGAGGCGGAGCUUGCAGUGAGCCGAGACCGUGCCACUGCACUCCAGCCUGGGCGACAGAGCGAUACUCCGUCAAAAAAAAAAAAAAAAAAAAAAAAAGACAAGUGGAUUUUAUAUAUGGCAACCAGCAAUGACCAGCUCAGUGGCUGGACUGAGAAGAAGCUCCAAAGCACUUCCCAAAGCCAAACUUGCACCAAAAAAAAGGUCAGGGUCACUGUUUGGUGGUCUGCUGCUGGUCUGAUCCACCGCUGCUCUCUGAAUCCUGGCAAAACCAUUACAUCUGAGAAGUAUGCUCAACAAAUCAAUGAGCUACGCCAAAAACUGCAGCAUCUGCAGCUGGCAUUGGUCAACAUAACGGGUCCAAUUCUUCUCCACGACAACGCUCAACUGCACCUUGCGCAAGCAGCGCUUCAAAAGUUGAACAAAUUGGGCUACAUAGUUUUUCCUCAUCCGCCAUAUUCACCUGACGUCUUGCCAACUAACUACCACUUCUUCAAGUAUCUCAACAACUUUUUGCAGGGAAAACACUUCCACAACCAGCAGGAUGCAGAACACGCUUUCCAAGAGUUUGUCGAAUCCUGACGCACAGAUUUUUAUGCUACAGGAAUAAACUAACUUAUUUCUCAUUGGCAAAAAUGUGUUGAUUGUAAUGGUUCCUAUUUUGAUGAAUAAAUGUGUGUUUGAGCCUAGUUAUGAUGAUUUAAAA
RNAcentral lists this long non-coding RNA (2115 nucleotides) under Homo sapiens (human). RNAcentral's name for it is "uncharacterized LOC105375751, transcript variant 1 (LOC105375751)". The record is from RNAcentral. Lineage: Eukaryota; Metazoa; Chordata; Mammalia; Primates; Hominidae.